AGACAAUGGAAAUUGUCCUAAUGGGACGUUUGUAAGGAGCAUGGAAUUCGACACCGACUAAAUAUGUACACUGUGAAUACACAUAAAGUAAACAAUCUGUUUCAGAAUUACUAGCACAUGAUGACAUGUGUGAAGCUGGGUUCAUUGAAAAAUGUGAAAGGUGGUCGUUUAUUUUUUUUGAUUGUAAGUGAAUGUGUCGAUCACGCUCUUUGAAAGGCACGUAAAGCGACACCCAGACAAAAGGCUCACGAGCUCCGCAGUAAGAGAUGCGCUGCACGUGCUGCGUGACGUGUAUAACCAACGUUACAGCGAACGUUCCAUCGACCAUCCGUGCCCGUUUUUUCUUUUUGAUUCAUAAACAAGCGCUUCGAUCAGGAUUCGCGAAGUCAUCGCAACCGCCCAUCGGAGUUUUUAUAAUAUAUUAUGGCGUUACCAAAACACAAGUCUCGGGCCCCGGUGACGCGAAACUGCGGAUUUUGAAAAAAUUUUUCAUUUCGGCGCGAUUCCAGCGACACUCAACACGGAGAAAAUGAGUUCUCUGCUCCAGCAACGAGAAGAGGGUCGCCACUUUUUUGGCGAUGAUUUUCCAGUGAUAAUGAGUGAAGACGAAGAGUCUUUAAAUGAGACAACAGGGGACCUCACUGAAUGGAAGCCUGUCGACUGCUCAGAGAGUGGCGCCGUCUCCCGUACUGCCGCACCGCUCGCUGAGAGCGGAGGGACCCAGGAGUCAGUCAAGACUGAAGACAAUAAGGACACUGUGAACCAUGUGUGGCAGCACUGCUAUGAUACAGCGGAAAAUACACCAAAUUGCAGUUACCGUUUGAGAUCUCACGCAGAUGAGAAGCUAUACGUGUGUCUCGUGUGCUCUAAGUGUUUUUGCACCCGGAGCCAGCUCACUCGCCACUAUCAAGCAUGUAUCUUCGCCGACUCGGAACAAUAUGACAAACAUGCUGCUACAGAGCUGAAGAGUGAGUCUGAGGAGUCUUCUCCUAGCUCUGACUCAUGCUCGCCAUUAAUGCUGAAGUACACCUGCCAAAUAUGCUUUUAUGCUACUGGUAGUUUGGCACAUUUUAAUUGCCAUUUAAGAACACACAGGGGUGAGAAACCAUACGUGUCUCGUACCUGGAGCCAUCUGAUCCGACACAUUCGGACGUGCAACUAUAGAGACCUCUCCAGUCUUGCUUUAAAGAUGCAGACGUGUGAGUUUUGCAAGUACACCACUAAUUCCCCAUAUAACUUAGAGGUCCACAAGCGAAUCCAUGCAGGCCAGUGAUGUGUAUGAUGUGUAAAGCUGAGUUCCGCACAUAAAGCCAUCUUCACUGCUGCAAUAGGAGCCAUAUAAAGAAAUCGGAAUAGCUAAUGUACUUGCAGUGGCUCAACUUGAAAUAGUCCAAAAAUGGCCUGAAGUCUAACACCCAAACUAAUACUUUAUCUAUAAUACUAAUACUGAUACUAAUACUUAGAAGUAAUAGUUUUCUUCUUUUCAAAAUCCUAGUUGAAAUUUGAAAAUAAAUUUCAAGCUUUGACCCUGAUUUCA
This 1537-nucleotide long non-coding RNA is filed under the name Scleropages formosus (Asian bonytongue). RNAcentral describes it as "lncRNA (ENSSFOG00015032997.1)". The record is from RNAcentral. Lineage: Eukaryota; Metazoa; Chordata; Actinopteri; Osteoglossiformes; Osteoglossidae.